UCCCUGUUCUUUGUGCUCGUGGAGUGGGAAUUAGUGGCUUUCGCUCUCCCCAUGGUGAAUGAAGGGAGGCAUGGAGUGAGAAUUAGUGACUUCGGCUCUCCCCAUGGUGAAUAAAGGGAGGCAUAGAGUGAGAAAUUAGUGGUUCCCGCUCUCCCCAUGGUGAGGGAAGGCGAGGUGGUCAAAAUGGUCAAGGAAGGCGAGGUGGUCAAAAUGGUCAAGGAAGGCGAUGUGGUCAACUAACAGAGUUGAUCACAU
Molecule: long non-coding RNA, 255 nt
Filed under: Phoenix dactylifera (date palm)
Lineage: Eukaryota; Viridiplantae; Streptophyta; Magnoliopsida; Arecales; Arecaceae
Description: long non-coding RNA (PDAC_LNC006786)
Source: RNAcentral